GAGUUUGAUCCUGGCUCAGAUUGAACGCUGGCGGUAUGCCUUACACAUGCAAGUCGAACGGUAGAGGGGCAACCCUUGAGAGUGGCGAACGGGUGAGUAAUACAUCGGAACGUGCCCAGUCGUGGGGGAUAACGUAGCGAAAGCUACGCUAAUACCGCAUACGACCCGAGGGUGAAAGCGGGGGACUCGCAAGAGCCUCGCGCGAUUGGAGCGGCCGAUGGCAGAUUAGGUAGUUGGUGGGGUAAAGGCCCACCAAGCCUGCGAUCUGUAGCUGGUCUGAGAGGACGACCAGCCACACUGGGACUGAGACACGGCCCAGACUCCUACGGGAGGCAGCAGUGGGGAAUUUUGGACAAUGGGCGAAAGCCUGAUCCAGCCAUACCGCGUGCGGGAAGAAGGCCUUCGGGUUGUAAACCGCUUUUGUCAGGGAAGAAAUCCUUUGGGUUAAUACCUCGGAGGGAUACGGUACCUGAAGAAUAAGCACCGGCUAACUAC
RNAcentral lists this ribosomal RNA (495 nucleotides) under uncultured beta proteobacterium. RNAcentral's name for it is "bacterial SSU rRNA". It matches the Rfam family "Bacterial small subunit ribosomal RNA", at positions 9 to 504 of the family's 1533-position model. Lineage: Bacteria; Pseudomonadati; Pseudomonadota; Betaproteobacteria. The record is from RNAcentral.